This 506-nucleotide ribosomal RNA is filed under the name Salmonella enterica. RNAcentral describes it as "bacterial SSU rRNA". It matches the Rfam family "Bacterial small subunit ribosomal RNA", at positions 199 to 700 of the family's 1533-position model. Lineage: Bacteria; Pseudomonadati; Pseudomonadota; Gammaproteobacteria; Enterobacterales; Enterobacteriaceae. The record is from RNAcentral.
ACCUUCGGGCCUCUUGCCAUCAGAUGUGCCCAGAUGGGAUUAGCUUGUUGGUGAGGUAACGGCUCACCAAGGCGACGAUCCCUAGCUGGUCUGAGAGGAUGACCAGCCACACUGGAACUGAGACACGGUCCAGACUCCUACGGGAGGCAGCAGUGGGGAAUAUUGCACAAUGGGCGCAAGCCUGAUGCAGCCAUGCCGCGUGUAUGAAGAAGGCCUUCGGGUUGUAAAGUACUUUCAGCGGGGAGGAAGGUGUUGUGGUUAAUAACCGCAGCAAUUGACGUUACCCGCAGAAGAAGCACCGGCUAACUCCGUGCCAGCAGCCGCGGUAAUACGGAGGGUGCAAGCGUUAAUCGGAAUUACUGGGCGUAAAGCGCACGCAGGCGGUCUGUCAAGUCGGAUGUGAAAUCCCCGGGCUCAACCUGGGAACUGCAUUCGAAACUGGCAGGCUUGAGUCUUGUAGAGGGGGGUAGAAUUCCAGGUGUAGCGGUGAAAUGCGUAGAGAUCUG